GAUGAACGCUGGCGGCGUGCCUAAUACAUGCAAGUCGAGCGAACGGACGAGAAGCUUGCUUCUCUGAUGUUAGCGGCGGACGGGUGAGUAACACGUGGAUAACCUACCUAUAAGACUGGGAUAACUUCGGGAAACCGGAGCUAAUACCGGAUAAUAUUUUGAACCGCAUGGUUCAAAAGUGAAAGACGGUCUUGCUGUCACUUAUAGAUGGAUCCGCGCUGCAUUAGCUAGUUGGUAAGGUAACGGCUUACCAAGGCAACGAUGCAUAGCCGACCUGAGAGGGGGGUCGGCCACACUGGAACUGAGACAGGGUCCAGACUCCUACGGGAGGCAGCAGUAGGGAAUCUUCCGCAAUGGGCGAAAGCCUGACGGAGCAACGCCGCGUGAGUGAUGAAGGUCUUCGGACCGUAAAACUCUGUUAUUAGGGAAGAACAUAUGUGUAAGUAACUGUGCACAUCUUGACGGUACCUAAUCAGAAAGCCACGGCUAACUACGUG
RNAcentral lists this ribosomal RNA (497 nucleotides) under uncultured bacterium. RNAcentral's name for it is "partial 16S ribosomal RNA". It matches the Rfam family "Bacterial small subunit ribosomal RNA", at positions 28 to 507 of the family's 1533-position model. The record is from RNAcentral.